Molecule: ribosomal RNA, 470 nt
Filed under: uncultured organism
Description: partial 16S ribosomal RNA
Rfam family: Bacterial small subunit ribosomal RNA
Source: RNAcentral
ACUCCUGCGGGAGGCAGCAGUGGGGAAUAUUGCACAAUGGGCGCAAGCCUGAUGCAGCCAUGCCGCGUGUGUGAAGAAGGCCUUCGGGUUGUAAAGCACUUUCAGCGGGGAGGAAGGCAAUGCGGUUAAUAACCGUGUUGAUUGACGUUACCCGCAGAAGAAGCACCGGCUGACUCCGUGCCAGCAGCCGCGGUAAUACGGAGGGUGCAAGCGUUAAUCGGAAUUACUGGGCGUAAAGCGCACGCAGGCGGUCUGUCAAGUCGGAUGUGAAAUCCCCGGGCUCAACCUGGGAACUGCAUUCGAAACUGGCAGGCUUGAUUCUUGUAGAGGGGGGUAGAAUUCCAGGUGUAGCGGUGAAAUGCGUAGAGAUCUGGAGGAAUACCGGUGGCGAAGGCGGCCCCCUGGACAAAGACUGACGCUCAGGUGCGAAAGCGUGGGGAGCAAACAGGAUUAGAUACCCCGGUAGUCCC